RNAcentral lists this ribosomal RNA (254 nucleotides) under uncultured bacterium. RNAcentral describes it as "partial 16S ribosomal RNA". It matches the Rfam family "Bacterial small subunit ribosomal RNA", at positions 524 to 776 of the family's 1533-position model. The record is from RNAcentral.
UACGAAGGGGGCUAGCGUUGCUCGGAAUCACUGGGCGUAAAGCGCACGUAGGCGGAUAUUUAAGUCGGUGGUGAAAUCCUGGAGCUCAACUCCAGAACUGCCUCCGAUACUGAAUGUCUUCGAGUCCGGGAGAGGUGAGUGGAACUGCGAGUGUAGAGGUGAAAUUCGUAGAUAUUCGCAAGAACACCAGUGGCGAAGGCGGCUCACUGGCCCGGUACCGACGCUGAGGUGCGAAAGCGUGGGGAGCAAACAGG